GAUGAAGAACGUAGCGAAAUGCGAUAAGUAAUGUGAAUUGCAGAAUUCAGUGAAUCAUCGAAUCUUUGAACGCACAUUGCGCCCGCCAGUAUUCUGGCGGGCAUGCCUGUUCGAGCGUCAUUUCAACCAUCAAGCCCCCGGCUUGUGUUGGGGACCUGCGGCUGCCGCAGGCCCUGAAAACCAGUGGCGGGCUCGCUAGUCACUCCGAGCGUAGUAAUACAUCUCGCUCAGGGCGUGCUGCGGGUUCCGGCCGAUAAAAGCCUUAUUUACCCAAGGUUGACCUCGGAUCAGGUAGGAAGACCCGCUGAACUUAAGCAUAUCAAUAAGCGGAGGA
RNAcentral lists this unclassified non-coding RNA (334 nucleotides) under soil metagenome. Its description in RNAcentral is "partial contains 5.8S ribosomal RNA, internal transcribed spacer 2, and large subunit ribosomal RNA". The stretch from base 1 to 120 matches the Rfam family "5.8S ribosomal RNA", at positions 35 to 154 of the family's 154-position model. The record is from RNAcentral.